GAGCUCGUGGCUCAAUGGUUAGAGCGUUGGACUUCAGAUCAACAGGUCGCGGGUUCG
Molecule: transfer RNA, 57 nt
Filed under: Schistocephalus solidus
Lineage: Eukaryota; Metazoa; Platyhelminthes; Cestoda; Diphyllobothriidea; Diphyllobothriidae
Rfam family: tRNA
About the family: Transfer RNA (tRNA) molecules are approximately 80 nucleotides in length. Their secondary structure includes four short double-helical elements and three loops (D, anti-codon, and T loops).
Source: Rfam by way of RNAcentral